This is a ribosomal RNA of 393 nucleotides. It matches the Rfam family "Eukaryotic small subunit ribosomal RNA", at positions 582 to 975 of the family's 1831-position model.
AUUCCAGCUCCAAUAGCGUAUAUUAAAGUUGUUGCAGUUAAAAAGCUCGUAGUUGGAUUUCUGGUUUGAGUGUCCGGCCCGCUUCGGCGUGUGCUAUGGAUGUUUGGACCAUUUUUAGUUAGGAUGCCUUUCUGCCAUUAAGUUGGUGGUUAGGUGAACUGGCUUCGUUUACUGUGAAAAAAUUAGAGUGUUUAAAGCAGCCGUUUGGUCAUUGAAUACAUUAGCAUGGAAUAAUAAGAUACGACUUUGGUGGUCUAUUUUGUUGGUUUGCACACCAGAGUAAUGAUUAAUAGGGACAGUUGGGGGUAUUCAUAUUUCAGCGUCAGAGGUGAAAUUCUUGGAUCGCUGAAAGAUGAGCUUAGGCGAAAGCAUUUACCAAGGAUGUUUUCAUCA